RNAcentral lists this ribosomal RNA (830 nucleotides) under uncultured bacterium. RNAcentral describes it as "bacterial SSU rRNA". It matches the Rfam family "Bacterial small subunit ribosomal RNA", at positions 31 to 892 of the family's 1533-position model. The record is from RNAcentral.
GAACGCUGGCGGCAGGCUUAACACAUGGAGAGCGGGCGUAGCAAUACGUCAGCGGCAGACGGGUGAGUAACGCGUGGGAACGUACCUUUUGGUUCGGAACAACUGAGGGAAACUUCAGCUAAUACCGGAUAAGACCCUUACGGGGGAAAGAUUUAUCGCCGAAAGAUCGGCCCGCGUCUGAUUAGCUAGUUGGUGAGGUAAUGGCUCACCAAGGCGACGAUCAGUAGCUGGUCUGAGAGGAUGAUCAGCCACAUUGGGACUGAGACACGGCCCAAACUCCUACGGGAGGCAAGCAGUGGGGAAUAUUGGACAAUGGGCGAAAGCCUGAUCCAGCCAUGCCGCGUGAGUGAUGAAGGCCCUAGGGUUGUAAAGCUCUUUUGUGCGGGAAGAUAAUGACGGUACCGCAAGAAUAAGCCCCGGCUAACUUCGUGCCAGCAGCCGCGGUAAUACGAAGGGGGCUAGCGUUGCUCGGAAUCACUGGGCGUAAAGGGUGCGUAGGCGGGUCUUUAAGUCAGAGGUGAAAUCCUGGAGCUCAACUCCAGAACUGCCUUUGAUACUGAGGAUCUUGAGUUCGGGAGAGGUGAGUGGAACUGCGAGUGUAGAGGUGAAAUUUCGUAGAUAUUCGCAAGAACACCAGUGGCGAAAGGCGGCUCACUGGCCCGAUACUGACGCUGAGGCACGGAAAGCGUGGGGAGCAAACAGGGAUUUAGAUACCCUUGGUAGUCCAACGCCGUAAACGAUGAAUGCCAGGCCGUUGGGGGAGUUUACUCUUUCCAGUGGCGCAGCUUAACGCUUUUAAGCAUUCCCGCCUGGGGAGUACGGGCCGCAAG